Molecule: ribosomal RNA, 459 nt
Filed under: uncultured bacterium
Lineage: Bacteria
Description: partial 16S ribosomal RNA
Rfam family: Bacterial small subunit ribosomal RNA
Source: RNAcentral
CCUACGGGAGGCAGCAGUGAGGAAUAUUGGUCAAUGGGCGAGAGCCUGAACCAGCCAAGUCGCGUGAGGGAAGACGGUCCUAUGGAUUGUAAACCUCUUUUGCCGGGGAGCAAAAAGCGGUACGUGUACCGCAUCGAGAGUACCCGGAGAAAAAGCAUCGGCUAACUCCGUGCCAGCAGCCGCGGUAAUACGGAGGAUGCGAGCGUUAUCCGGAUUUAUUGGGUUUAAAGGGUGCGCAGGCGGCGAGUUAAGUCAGCGGUAAAAUUUCGGGGCUCAACCCCGACAAGCCGUUGAAACUGGCUUGCUAGAGUGGGCGAGAAGUAUGCGGAAUGCGUGGUGUAGCGGUGAAAUGCAUAGAUAUCACGCAGAACUCCGAUUGCGAAGGCAGCAUACCGGCGCCCAACUGACGCUCAGGCACGAAAGCGUGGGUAUCGAACAGGAUUAGAUACCCCAGUAGUC